CAUUGUAAAUCAUCCCAAGUAUCAAUAAGAAUACUCCUCUCUCUCCCUAUUCUCUCUAUAUUGUUCUUGUCUUUUAUAUUAUUUCAUAACAUAAUUUCAAUUGUGUAUAAUAUUUCCUUGACCCAAUUCACUCAACAAGAGUAAUCAGUGGCCUCUUAAUUUUCUUUAACUAAAUUUACUCACAUUUAAUAUGUCAAAAUUAAAUCCAAGACAUUCACCUUGAUAAAAUAGCUAUCUUUUACUAUUCAAAUACUAAUAAACACUCUAAAUUAAUAACAUGCUAGUCAUGAAAGAUUCACAAAAAAGAAAACUCAUGUUUUCCUUCACUUAACAAUUAUAAAGUGGAUUAAUGGAGACUUCUAGAUGCUCACUUUUGCUUAAACUGGCACAACAGAAAGAAAUAGGCGAAGGGAUUAUCUCCUCUAAUAAAAUAGCUUCAUAAUUCAAAUGAGAUUUUAUCAAUGUAAAAGGGAUAUAAUAAUAGUAAAGACUCAAAUAACCUACCAGUAUAUUGGAACUCCAAAAUUUAAAAGAAACAAGAAAAAGAAUAUUCACAUCUAAUUCAUUGUGGGAAGUCUAUGGUAGCUUAUCAUUCCAAUAACUAUAUAAAACUACAAAGUAGUGUUUCAGCAAACAUAUUAGGAGCAAUUUCAAACUAGCAGUUAAAACAACUUAAACAAAUGGCCAAAUGAAUUUAGCUCUGCUCCAACAAUCAAAACAGGUUUCAAUCUUGGUUUAUUGCUAUGAAAAUAUGAAUUACAAAGGCUCAAAAGUUACAUGAGGAGCAGAAAUAUGAUGCAAGAGUGAAAUGCGAGCAGAAAACAACAGCAGGACAACAAGGAAACAACACCAAGAUGGACGUUUGAACAUCCUAAAAUUUUUAGAGUCGAAGCCCAAAACAAGUUCUAAAAGAUUUUAUCUUUCUGAAAGAGUUUUCACUCUAAGAAACCUUCACGAAACUCACAAUUUCAGCUUAUUAUUAUAUAUUUUUAGCUGUUGAUUUUUCUCUAAACAUUUUGUGUAUCUAAACAACUCUUCAAGAUGUCCUCUGUGUAAAUAAGAAUGUUCAGUAUUUUAUAAGAGGAGACAAUGCAUUCAUGAUUGAAAAUCUGUCCAUAAGACAUAUUUCUCAGCAAAAAUCUGCUAUAACUAUUUAAAUGACAGACUUUUGGUUCAAAAAUCUGUCCAAAGGAUAAUUUUUUGCCAACUGUGAAUAGUAUUAGGAGCUGUAUACUCCCAACAACCUUUAAACAAUAAAAAGCAGCAAACAAGUACCCUACUCUCAUGAUCAGACAUAUUUAUUCUUUAGCUUUUCAACAAUCAAUACAAGUCCUAGUUUGCUUCAAAACAAAACUAAAGACAAGUAACUAGAACUUAAUUAAUCUACCACAAACAUGUAACUAAACCUUAAUACUGAACCUUUAACCAAUCAAGAGAACUUAAAACCUAAUGACUAAAACGAAACCAAGCAAGACACAUGUUAACAGAGAAAAUAAUUUAGUGAAAACAUUUGACUAAGUGAAGACGAAACUGAAAACUAUGUAGAAAAUGAACUAAAAUGGACCACUAACAGAACUUACACUACUACAAUAACUACAACAAAGUAGUAGGCAACAGAAAUUAGAAACCUAAAGAAAGAAUUAGGUUCUUGUUAGAGUCCAAAAACUUUGAAACUUCAGUUAAUUAGCAUAAUGAAUUAAACGUGAAAUAACAGAAACUACAAUUGAAGCUAAAAUUUAUAAACUUGAAUCUACAACUAACUUUAAACACCAUUAGCAGAACAUAAGAGACAGGAAUCCAAACAACAAAAUAUUUUAAGAUCAAGGAACGACGACUAAUCAUUACUGACUCCUAACUAACUAACGGCUAACUAAAGAUAAAUAAAACACACGGUCAAACAAAGAAAAAAAAUCAAAAAUUUUAGACCUAAGAAAACUACAAAAAAACAGAAAGUAAAAGAAAAAGAAAGGGGACACAAGGGAUUAGGGCGUACCAGAAAAAUCGAGUGGUGCAAUAGUGGUGGUGAUUCAGAUAGUGGUGGAUAAAGCUUUGACGUUGGACAUGCUAUUCUCGUUGCUGGCUUGUCAUUAUAAACUCCAAUAAAAUUGAAGUCGAAUAACGAACUCAACAACAAGAAAAGCUCGUUCGAGCCAAAGUAGAAGCGGCCAACAACCCAUCGUAAUUGAGGCCCCGGAGUUUCGACUUCAAACCAAAAAAGAAUGGUAGAUUGGGGGAAGAACUACACACUUAUGUAGGUAUUAAGUGGUGGUGAGGUCUGAAACUUGACAAAUCUAAGGAAAAAUAGGCGGUUAGGGUUUCGGUUCUUUCGAAGAUUUAUGGCGUUUGAGAAGGAUUCAAGGGAUUUGGGGCUUGGAUUAGGGGAGAGGAGGAGAGAUGAAGAGAUUGGCCUUAGUUGGAGGGUAUUUUUUCAACGGAAGACAGCGUUGCUGCCAUGGGGGACGGAAGCGACGACAUGAGGAAAAGAAGAGAGGAGAGGGGCUUCUAGGGUUUGGGUUAUGGAGAAAUGGCCAAAUUUUCUGAUUUUAGAGGGCUUAUAUACCUCUUCAGAGAUCAAAU
Molecule: long non-coding RNA, 2577 nt
Filed under: Nicotiana benthamiana
Lineage: Eukaryota; Viridiplantae; Streptophyta; Magnoliopsida; Solanales; Solanaceae
Description: long non-coding RNA (NBEN_LNC041367)
Source: RNAcentral